Molecule: unclassified non-coding RNA, 2389 nt
Filed under: Hevea brasiliensis (rubber tree)
Lineage: Eukaryota; Viridiplantae; Streptophyta; Magnoliopsida; Malpighiales; Euphorbiaceae
Source: RNAcentral
UGAUAAAGAUUUUGACCGUCUGGACAAACUUCUUGUUAUUGUUAGAAAAGUGGAUGAAAUGUCUAAUAGUGGUGGUGGCCAUAGCAACUUAGGUUCUUCUUCUUCAUCUAUCUCUCAACAAGAUAUAGGAGAUAAAUCUCAAAACCCACAAGGGCCUCAGCCUGGUGAUUGGGAUGAUCCCAUUGCAUUCCAGCUGGAAGAACUAUUGUUCUCUAAUAUACGAACAAUUUUCCAGAAUGCAAUUAAGCAGCUUUGUGAAAGUGGUUAUAGUGAAGAUAUUGCUCAAAAGGCCAUUUCGAGAAUGGGAUUGUACCAGGGUGGAACAGACCUUGUGGCAAACAUAGUGAAUGAUGCUGUGACCUUAUUGAAGAGAGGGAAGGACAUUGACAAUUCAAAGAAUAUUGUUUUUGAGAAUUUGCAGGAGAUGGUGGAGUACACGAUGUUAGAGCUGGUUAAUGUGCUUAGAGAAGUUAAGUCAUCAUUAUCCACUGGGGAAGCAAUGUGGUGGUUAUUAGUAUGUGAUAUGAACAUUUCACAGGCAUGUGCUGUGGAAGGAGAUCUACUCAAUGAAUUUGGUGGUAAAAAAUUCCCAGGAGAGAGCUCUUCUGAUUCUAGUCUUCCCAAAUCAGGGUUGGAGGCCCAAUGCUCUAGACCUAUUCCUUCAAAUACCAAAAAGGAGAAUUUUCUUUCUACGCCAGCAAGUUUUGAGACAUCCUCAGUCCAGCCUAAGUCCCAAACAUCUGCUUUUGAAGGAAAAUCAAAGAAGGGACGCAAGUCACUCAACAAGAAAGAACUUGCAGCUGGGAAGAAAACCAUAAAUUCGGAGAGGGUUCUGAUGAACCAUGGUAAAUCAGGUUCUCAAUCGGGAAAUAUUACUAGUUUUGGUAGUUCUAAUGUGGAAAAGAGAAUGAAGUCUCCUUUUGAAUCACAUGGUGUGAAAACAAAAAAUUCUGCUUCCAAUACAAAAGCCAAAGUUCAAGCCCCUAUGACAGAUGGAAGUUCUCAGGUUCCUAGCAAUAGUCCAUCUGUUGUAUCUGCAUCAGGUGACUCUUCAAAAGUACAUAUGAUGGGGACAAUAUCUGCAUCGGCUGCAACAAAUACUGAACUUACAGUUUCGGGAAAGAAGCCUCCAUUGCAGCCUGAGACCAGCAACUUUGAGUAUCCAAAAAUAGCUGAUUACUAUGCUAGAAUUCCAUAUGAUGAGUCUCUGGGGAAGUAUGUUCCACAAUAUGAGAAAGAUGAAUUGAUUCUAAGAUUGGUUCCUAAGGUGCAGGAACUACAGAAAGAACUACAAAGUUGGACAGAUUGGGCCAAUCAGAAAGUUAUGCAGGCUGCUCGUAGGCUUAGCCAAGACAAGCCUGAGCUUGAGGCAUUAAAAUUGGAGAAGCAAGAGGCAGAACAAUUCAAGAAAGAGAAGAAAAUGUUAGAGGAGAAUGCCAUGAAAAGGCUAUCAGAAAUGGAGCUUGCCUUGAUUAAUGCUACUGGCCAGAUUGAGAUGGCUAAUUCUACUAUUCGCAAACUUGAGGUGGAGAAUUCUCUGCUAAAGGAUGAGUUGGACAUUGCAAACUUGCAGGCUGUGGAGUCAGCUGUAAAUUGUGAGGCAGCAUUGGAGAGGGAGCAUAAGGCCCUAAAGAAUGCUCAAUCAUGGAAGGGGCAGAAAAGCUUGUUGCUGGAGGAGCUAGAGACUCACAAACAGAAGGUGGUCAAACUGCAACAAGACAUAGGAAAGGCAGAAAAGAUCAAGAACCAAAUUGAGGCUAGAUGGGAACAGCAGAGAUUGCUGAAGGAAAAAUUGCUUGCAGAGGCUGUCUCAAUAAAAGAUGAACGAGAACAACUUGAAGCUGCAGCAAAAGCAGAGGAGGAUAUGGUCAGACAAAAAGCAGAAAAUGAUUUGAAGAAAUAUAUGGAAGACAUCAGCAAGCUUGAGAAACAAAUAUCUGAAUUGAAUUUGAAGACUGAUGCUUCAAAAAUAGCUGCUCUGAGAUGGAGCAUUGACGGAAACAAGUGCCAAGCGGAUGACCUCACUAUAAAGGGAAGUCAAGACUCUAAUAUCUUCAAUAAGGAAGUGAAAAUCCAGGGAACUUUUGGAAGUGGAGGUCUGAAACGGGAUAGGGAAUGUGUGAUGUGCUUAUCUGAAGAGAAGUCUGUGGUUUUCCUCCCUUGUGCACAUCAGGUCCUCUGUAAAGAAUGCAAUGAGCUCCACAAGAAAGAGGGAAUGAAGGACUGCCCAUCUUGUAGGAGUCCUAUCCAGCAACGCAUUCCAGCCCGCUUUGCUCAUCCAUGAGCCCAAUAUACUUUUUUGACGGAAUAAAACCUGGUUAGAGGAAGUGAUGUUGAUCACUGAGAGGAAGUUAUGUUGAGCUUCACUCAAAACAAUCCUGUUAAAAAA